GAUUCGUCACACUAUCAUUAACUGAAUCCAUAGGUUAAUGAGGCGAACCGGGGGAACUGAAACAUCUAAGUACCCCGAGGAAAAGAAAUCAACCGAGAUUCCCCCAGUAGCGGCGAGCGAACGGGGAGGAGCCCAGAGCCUGAAUCAGCAUGUGUGUUAGUGGAAGCGUCUGGAAAGGCGCGCGAUACAGGGUGACAGCCCCGUACACAAAAGCGCAUGUGCUGUGAGCUCGAUGAGUAGGGCGGGACACGUGGUAUCCUGUCUGAAUAUGGGGGGACCAUCCUCCAAGGCUAAAUACUCCUGACUGACCGAUAGUGAACCAGUACCGUGAGGGAAAGGCGAAAAGAACCCCGGCGAGGGGAGUGAAAAAGAACCUGAAACCGUGUACGUACAAGCAGUGGGAGCACAGGUUUACCUGUGUGACUGCGUACCUUUUGUAUAAUGGGUCAGCGACUUAUAUUCUGUAGCAAG
This 471-nucleotide ribosomal RNA is filed under the name Salmonella enterica. Its description in RNAcentral is "partial 23S ribosomal RNA". It matches the Rfam family "Bacterial large subunit ribosomal RNA", at positions 137 to 644 of the family's 2925-position model. The record is from RNAcentral. Lineage: Bacteria; Pseudomonadati; Pseudomonadota; Gammaproteobacteria; Enterobacterales; Enterobacteriaceae. RNAcentral also lists the same sequence under 3 other names.